Molecule: unclassified non-coding RNA, 433 nt
Filed under: Yarrowia lipolytica
Lineage: Eukaryota; Fungi; Ascomycota; Dipodascomycetes; Dipodascales
Source: RNAcentral
UGAACCACCUUAGGGCCAAACGUGAACCACCAUAAGACCACCAUACCACAUACCACCAUAGGACCUACAAAACAACUUCCGACUCCGAAGAGCCUCGCAAUGCCACGUAUGGCGAAUCCGCAGUUGCACUACAACGCUGUUAGCUACAGUACAGAAUCCCACUGUCGAUGCAAGUACGCUACAUCCUGGUUGUACUGUACUGUACUGUACUGUAUACUAUACUCAACAUCCGCUCAAAGAUCAUCUCCUGCCGCAAGACUCGCCAGUUCGAGUACACAUUUCCAAGACACUAAUUAGCGCCCGCAGUGAGGAUUCGAAACGUGAUUGCGGCAGAUAUUCGGCCGGACAAAGUCGUUGUUCCAUCGUCUACACGUAUUGUAGGAGUAUGGAGUAGACAAUACAAGUAUCGUACAAAUGUACAAAUAUCGUACAA